UGCGAGCGUUGUCCGGAAUUACUGGGCGUAAAGAGCUCGUAGGUGGUUUGUCGCGUUGUUCGUGAAAUCUCACGGCUUAACUGUGAGCGUGCGGGCGAUACGGGCAGACUUGAGUACUGCAGGGGAGACUGGAAUUCCUGGUGUAGCGGUGGAAUGCGCAGAUAUCAGGAGGAACACCGGUGGCGAAGGCGGGUCUCUGGGCAGUAACUGACGCUGAGGAGCGAAAGCGUGGGGAGCGAACAGGUCUAGAUACCCUGGUAGUCCACGCCGUAAACGGUGGGUACUAGGUGUGGGUUUCCUUCCUUGGGAUCCGUGCCGUAGCUAACGCAUUAAGUACCCCGCCUGGGGAGUACGGCCGCAAGGCUAAAACUCAAAGAAAUUGACGGGGGCCCGCACAAGCGGCGGAGCAUGUGGAUUAAUUCGAUGCAACGCGAAGAACCUUACCUGGGUUUGACAUGCACAGGACGCCGGCAGAGAUGUCGGUUCCCUUGUGGCCUGUGUGCAGGUGGUGCAUGGCUGUCGUCAGCUCGUGUCGUGAGAUGUUGGGUUAAGUCCCGCAACGAGCGCAACCCUUGUCUCAUGUUGCCAGCGGGUAAUGCCGGGGACUCGUGAGAGACUGCCGGGGUCAACUCGGAGGAAGGUGGGGAUGACGUCAAGUCAUCAUGCCCCUUAUGUCCAGGGCUUCACACAUGCUACAAUGGCCGGUACAAAGGGCUGCGAUGCCGCGAGGUUAAGCGAAUCCUUUUAAAGCCGGUCUCAGUUCGGAUCGGGGUCUGCAACUCGACCCCGUGAAGUCGGAGUC
This 802-nucleotide ribosomal RNA is filed under the name uncultured Mycobacterium sp. Its description in RNAcentral is "bacterial SSU rRNA". It matches the Rfam family "Bacterial small subunit ribosomal RNA", at positions 533 to 1333 of the family's 1533-position model. The record is from RNAcentral. Lineage: Bacteria; Bacillati; Actinomycetota; Actinomycetes; Mycobacteriales; Mycobacteriaceae.